GGGGGGUUGCCCGAGUGGCUAAAGGGGGCUGACUGUAAAUCAGCUGGCUAGGCCUUCGGCGGUUCGAAUCCGUCACCCCCCA
This 82-nucleotide transfer RNA is filed under the name Anaerolineales bacterium HSG24. Its description in RNAcentral is "tRNA-Tyr". It matches the Rfam family "tRNA". From Rfam's summary of the family: Transfer RNA (tRNA) molecules are approximately 80 nucleotides in length. Their secondary structure includes four short double-helical elements and three loops (D, anti-codon, and T loops). The record is from RNAcentral. Lineage: Bacteria; Bacillati; Chloroflexota; Anaerolineae; Anaerolineales. RNAcentral also lists the same sequence under 1 other name.